This 912-nucleotide long non-coding RNA is filed under the name Marmota monax (woodchuck). Lineage: Eukaryota; Metazoa; Chordata; Mammalia; Rodentia; Sciuridae. The record is from RNAcentral.
CAGCAGGUAGAAUCCAAGCGUAUUGAUGCAUCUCUCUGACCCCAUUACUGAGGAGGUACUGAAAGCGCUGCCUCCCUGCCCACUGCCAUGUUGGAUCUCUCAAGUCUAGGCUUUAGAUAUUCACUGUCCAAGCCACUGUCACAUAUAUAUUCUUUAGUCUUUUAAAUGUAAAUAAUACAAUCUAUCUAGUAAUAAAAGACAGAUAUAUUGUAGAUGACACCUAUUGCUCCUCUCAUAAUAUGUCUAGUUUCUCUACAUCUCAUCUGAGAUCCCCAUCUCACUUGCACUGAGAAACUAAUGUGACUCCAUUUUUGAGAAACAAGCCUCUACCUCAGAGCAAAGCCUGUCCAAGGAAGGGGGCAUGACCCUUGUCCUUGGAAAAACCCACAGAGCACUCCUAAGCACAUACCCUCCCUGCUGAGUUGUUUGUAAAUAACAGGAGAGGUCUGCAGUGCCAGGUGUCCCUGACUCAGUUAGGCUAGGUGAGGACCCAUAGCAACUCCCCUAGCAACCUCCAAUCAGCAUGAGACAGGGAAAAUACCUGGAAUGCAAGAUGAUCUCCAAGUAGUUUAUGGUGGUUGAUAACAUGUUGGGAAACCAUGUAGUUUAGCACGUACACCCCUCAUGGCCUAAACCAAUCAGUUCAAAGGAAUCCCCCUCUUGUGUUAACCAAUCACCCUACCCAACUUGUUUCUGCCAUUGAAUGUGCUAAUCAAUGUUAAGAGUUGUUGUUUGAUUUUCCCAUGGUAUGGAAUGAUUUCCUGUGUGAUUUUGUGACAUAUAGAGUAUCCCCCCAAAACAUAAAAUCUCACUGAACAAAGGACCAGGACUCACUCCCUGGGACCCUGCGUCAGGAACGGUUGUGAGUCCAGGCUCGAGCUUGCAAUAAAGACUCUUGUGUGAUUGCAUCGG